UGGGGAAUCUUGGACAAUGGGGGCAACCCUGAUCCAGCGAUGCCGCGUGGGUGAAGAAGGCCUUCGGGUUGUAAAGCCCUUUAGGUUGGGAAGAAGUGUAUAUGGAGAUAAUACGUAUACAUUGACGGUACCGACAGAAUAAGCACCGGCAAACUCUGUGCCAGCAGCCGCGGUAAUACAGAGGGUGCGAGCGUUAAUCGGAAUUACUGGGCGUAAAGGGUGCGUAGGCGGUAAAGUGUGAGGUUUGUGAAAGCCCCGGGCUUAACCUGGGAAGUGCAAGCCUAACUACUUAACUAGAAUACAGGAGAGGGUAGCGGAAUUUCCGGUGUAGCGGUGAAAUGCGUAGAGAUCGGAAGGAACGUCAGUGGCGAAGGCGACUACCUGGACUGAUAUUGACGCUGAAGCACGAAAGCGUGGGGAGCGAACAGGAUUAGAUACCCGGGUAGUCC
Molecule: ribosomal RNA, 449 nt
Filed under: uncultured bacterium
Lineage: Bacteria
Description: bacterial SSU rRNA
Rfam family: Bacterial small subunit ribosomal RNA
Source: RNAcentral